This 230-nucleotide long non-coding RNA is filed under the name Mytilus galloprovincialis (Mediterranean mussel). The record is from RNAcentral. Lineage: Eukaryota; Metazoa; Mollusca; Bivalvia; Mytilida; Mytilidae.
UUUUUUUUAUUAUUCUGAAGUAGAUAAUAGUUUUCUUUUAAUCUUGGAAUGGUCAACUGAUAAGUUGUAUGGCUGCUUACAGGUAAAUCAGUAAUUUCUAUUUGACAGUUGCGUGUAUUCUGGGUUGUGGAAUACUUUAAUUUUAUGGGAAACAUCCUGUCCAUGUGUAAUACUUAGUAUAUAUUCCAACAGAUGACAUUACACAAAUUUUUCUUCUGUUAAUGAACGAU